GGCGACCUACGGGGCGCAGCAGUGGGGAAUAUUGCACAAUGGGGGAAACCCUGAUGCAGCGACGCCGCGUGAAGGAAGAAGUAUUUCGGUAUGUAAACUUCUAUCAGCAGGGAAGAAAAUGACGGUACCUGACUAAGAAGCCCCGGCUAACUACGUGCCAGCAGCCGCGGUAAUACGUAGGGGGCAAGCGUUAUCCGGAUUUACUGGGUGUAAAGGGAGCGUAGACGGUUAAUCAAGUCAGAAGUGAAAACCCAGGGCUCAACCUUGGGACUGCUUUUGAAACUGAGUAGCUAGAGUGCAGGAGA
This 305-nucleotide ribosomal RNA is filed under the name uncultured bacterium. RNAcentral's name for it is "bacterial SSU rRNA". It matches the Rfam family "Bacterial small subunit ribosomal RNA", at positions 333 to 655 of the family's 1533-position model. The record is from RNAcentral.